GACGAACGCUUGCGGCGUGCCUAAGAAAUGCAAGUCGAGCGAGCUCAAGCCUUCGGGCGGAAAGCUAGCGGCGAACGGUCGAGUAACACGUGAGCAACCUGCCCCAAAGCGGGGGAUAGCCCACCGAAAGGUGGAUUAAUACCGCAUGUGGCCGUUCCGGGGCAUCCCGGGACGAUUAAAGCAGCAAUGCGCUUUGGGAUGGGCUCGCGGCCUAUCAGCUUGUUGGUGGGGUAACGGCCUACCAAGGCUACGACGGGUAGCUGGUCUGAGAGGAUGGUCAGCCGGAUUGGGACUGAGACACGGCCCAGACUCCUACGGGGGCAGCAAUUAGGAAUCUUGCGCAAUGGGCGAAAGCCUGACGCAGCGACGCCGCGUGACCGACGAAGUCCUUCGGAGUGUAAAGGUACUUUUGUCCAGGGAAGAAGGAUACUGACGGUACCGUGGCGGAAUAAGACCCCGGCCGUAACUACGUGCCAGCAGCCGCCGGUAAGAGUCACGUCG
RNAcentral lists this ribosomal RNA (501 nucleotides) under uncultured bacterium. RNAcentral's name for it is "bacterial SSU rRNA". It matches the Rfam family "Bacterial small subunit ribosomal RNA", at positions 28 to 536 of the family's 1533-position model. The record is from RNAcentral.